This 503-nucleotide ribosomal RNA is filed under the name uncultured bacterium. RNAcentral describes it as "bacterial SSU rRNA". It matches the Rfam family "Bacterial small subunit ribosomal RNA", at positions 391 to 896 of the family's 1533-position model. The record is from RNAcentral.
GCGACGCCGCGUGUGGGAUGACGGCCUUCGGGUUGUAAACCACUGUCGGGAGGGACGAAUGCGCCGCAAGGCGAGUGACGGUACCUCCAAAGGAAGCACCGGCUAACUCCGUGCCAGCAGCCGCGGUAAUACGGAGGGUGCGAGCGUUGUCCGGAAUCACUGGGCGUAAAGGGCGCGUAGGCGGCCUGAUAAGUAGGGGGUGAAAUCCUGCGGCUUAACCGCAGGGCUGCCUUCUAAACUGUCAGGCUCGAGCACAGUAGAGGCAGGUGGAAUUCUCGGUGUAGCGGUGGAAUGCGUAGAGAUCGGGAAGAACAUCAGUGGCGAAGGCGGCCUGCUGGGCUGUUGCUGACGCUGAGGCGCGACAGCGUGGGGAGCAAACAGGAUUAGAUACCCUGGUAGUCCACGCCGUAAACGAUGGACACUAGGCGUCGGGGGGAGCGACCCUCCCGGUGCCGUCGCUAACGCAGUAAGUGUCCCGCCUGGGGAGUACGGCCGCAAGGCUG